CUUAUUUUAGUUCAGUGUAUUAACCUGCCCGUACGAAAUUAUAAGGCGUAUUAUGCCUGGAAAUAAGGCGUAAACCAGGCGUAAGUGGUAGUUACGUGUCUAGAUCCAAGUGUAAGGGAGCAGGAAACAUAAAUUUGUAGUCCUAACAAGAUUAAAGACGCCGUUUAAGUAGAUUUUAGGUGAUCAUCAACAGAAGCCAUAAUCCUCAUUUUAUACACACCCAAGCUCAUUAGUUUAAAUCACAAAUUAAUUGUUUUGUAAACAUUUUAAAUACUUUUUCAUGAACGUUAACAAUGCAUCAUUAAUUAUUUAUAAAAAUUCUAUAAAAGAUAAUCUUAGGUUAAC
This 345-nucleotide long non-coding RNA is filed under the name Mytilus galloprovincialis (Mediterranean mussel). The record is from RNAcentral. Lineage: Eukaryota; Metazoa; Mollusca; Bivalvia; Mytilida; Mytilidae.